Molecule: ribosomal RNA, 603 nt
Filed under: Pseudomonas sp. 44ox2
Lineage: Bacteria; Pseudomonadati; Pseudomonadota; Gammaproteobacteria; Pseudomonadales; Pseudomonadaceae
Description: bacterial SSU rRNA
Rfam family: Bacterial small subunit ribosomal RNA
Source: RNAcentral
GGAUAACGUUCGGAAACGGACGCUAAUACCGCAUACGUCCUACGGGAGAAAGCAGGGGAUCUUCGGACCUUGCGCUAUCAGAUGAGCCCAGGUCGGAUUAGCUUGUUGGUGAGGUAACGGCUCACCAAGGCUGCGAUCCGUAACUGGUCUGAGAGGAUGAUCAGUCACACUGGAACUGAGACACGGUCCAGACUCUACGGGAGGCAGCAGUGGGGAAUAUUGGACAAUGGGGGAAACCCUGAUCCAGCCAUGCCGCGUGUGUGAAGAAGGUCUUCGGAUUGUAAAGCACUUUAAGUUGGGAGGAAGGGCUGAUGCUUAAUACGUAUCAGUCUUGACGUUACCGACAGAAUAAGCACCGGCUAACUCUGUGCCAGCAGCCGCGGUAAUACAGAGGGUGCAAGCGUUAAUCGGAAUUACUGGGCGUAAAGCGCGCGUAGGUGGCUAAGUAAGAUGGGUGUGAAAUCCCCGGGCUCAACCUGGGAACUGCAUCCAUAACUGCUGAGCUAGAGUACGGUAGAGGGUAGUGGAAUUUCCUGUGUAGCGGUGAAAUGCGUAGAUAUAGGAAGGAACACCAGUGGCGAAGGCGACUACCUGGACUGAUAU